CUAGAUGUUCUGGGCCGCCGCGCGCUACACUGACGCGACCACGAGCCUAUCCUUGGCCGAGAGGCCCGGGUAAUCUUGUAAACCGCGUCGUGAUGGGGAUAGAUUAUUGCAAUUAUUAGUCUUCAACGAGGAAUGUCUAGUAAGCGCGAGUCAUCAGCUCGCGUUGAUUACGUCCCUGCCCUUUGUACACACCGCCCGUCGCUCCUACCGAUUGGGUGUGCUGGUGAAGUGUUCGGAUUGACUUUGACUGGGGCAACCUGGUCAUGGUUGAGAAGUUCAUUAAACCCUCCCACCUAGAGGAAGGAGAAGUCGUAACAAGGUUUCCGUAGGUGAACCUGCGGAAGGAUCAUUG
Molecule: non-coding RNA, 352 nt
Filed under: Volvox carteri f. nagariensis
Lineage: Eukaryota; Viridiplantae; Chlorophyta; Chlorophyceae; Chlamydomonadales; Volvocaceae
Description: Eukaryotic small subunit ribosomal RNA
Rfam family: Eukaryotic small subunit ribosomal RNA
Source: Rfam by way of RNAcentral